AUGUUGCAGGAGGAUGGGGGUAUUGAUGAAGAUGUGAACCAUCGAAUCAAAGCCGGAUGGAUGAAGUGGCGCCAAGCUUCUGGCAUUCUCCGUGACAAGAGAGUGCCACAAAAGCUAAAAGGCAAGUUCUACAGGACGGCGGUUCGACCCGCAAUGUUGUAUGGCGCGGAGUGUUGGCCGACUAAAAGGCGACAUGUUCAACAGUUAGGUGUGGCGGAGAUGCGUAUGUUGAGAUGGAUGUGUGGCCACACGAGGAAGGAUCGAGUCCGGAAUGAUGAUAUACGAGAUAGAGUUGGGGUAGCACCAAUUGAGGAGAAGCUUGUCCAACAUCGUUUGAGAUGGUUUGGGCAUAUCCAGCGCAGGCCUCCAGAAGCUCCAGUGCAUAGCGGACGGCUAAAGCGUGCGGAGAAUGUCAAGAGAGGGCGGGGUCGACCGAUUUUGACAUGGGAGGAGUCCGUUAAGAGAGACCUGAAGGAUUGGAGUAUCGACAAAGAGCUAGCUAUGGACAGGGGUGCGUGGAAGCUUGCUAUCCAUGUGCCAGAGCCAUGA
This 549-nucleotide ribosomal RNA is filed under the name Triticum aestivum (bread wheat). RNAcentral's name for it is "partial small subunit ribosomal RNA". The record is from RNAcentral. Lineage: Eukaryota; Viridiplantae; Streptophyta; Magnoliopsida; Poales; Poaceae.